AUACGGAGGAUGCAAGCGUUAUCCGGAUUUAUUGGGUUUAAAGGGAGCGUAGGCGGGAGCUUAAGUCAGCGGUUAAAUGGUGCGGCUCAACCGUGCCCUGCCGUUGAAACUGGGUUUCUUGAGAGUGCAAGAGGCGGAUGGAAUUCAUGGUGUAGCGGUGAAAUGCUUAGAUAUCAUGAAGAACUCCGAUUGCGAAGGCAGUCCGCUGGGGCACGUCUGACGCUGAUGCUCGAAGGUGCGGGAAUCAAACAGGAUUUGAUACCCUGGUAGUCCGCACGGUAAACGAUGAUUACCCGCUGUCGGCGGUAGACAGUCGGCGGCCAAGCGAAAGCGAUAAGUAAUCCACCUGGGGAGUACGCCGGCAACGGUGAAACUCAAAUGAAUUGACGGGG
Molecule: ribosomal RNA, 392 nt
Filed under: uncultured bacterium
Lineage: Bacteria
Description: partial 16S ribosomal RNA
Rfam family: Bacterial small subunit ribosomal RNA
Source: RNAcentral